CGACAACAUACAUUUCAUAUGCAUAUAAAAAUCGAUAUAUUAUAACAUGUUUAUAUUUUUGUGCCUAAAAAAAAUUCAAUUAUUGUUAUGACUGUAUAUGUAAAUUGUUGUAUUAUAUCCAUAUUUUAUAAAAAAUUCAUAUAUUAUUAUAUGUUAAAUUUUUUGAUUCGCCCUAAUAUGACUAAAAAAUCAAAUAUUGUUAUUAGUGCUUCUUUAUCUUAUUAUCAAAUAAUAUAUAUUCAAACAUUUUAAAUUGAUAAAGGGGAAAUAAUUUAAUUUACGGGUACACAAAACAGGUAAGAGUAAUAAAAGACCCAUUAAACCACUAUGUCAUAAAAGACUACCGUAGCUAUUACCAAGCUCUAAACCCUGUUUGCAUGCGACGGUGUGCUUAGAAGCUGAAUCGUGUUCUCCAGACUGCAGCAUCCCAUUGUUAUUGUUUUUAACUAAACUUUUCGACCACCAAGAUGAAGGUACACCACCUCAUUGCUGCUUCGUUGUUUCAAUUGAUCGCUUUCAAUUGAACUGUAUACAAUUGCUUACAUUAGUUCACAGUGUUGUCGAUGUUUUGCCUUUUCUAAUUUGUUGGAUUGAAUUUGUCUAUUAACCUCUGUCUUCACUCUGAUUACGAAUCAUUCCAUGUUCUUCUGUUUACCUAAAUUAGUUGUUGUGUGGAUACUUGGCAGAAGUGAUAUGUCAACAAGAGAUCACAUGCACUCUUGUAUUGUAUACAUUAUAUAUCUGUGUGUUUCCCUGUUUGAUUAAGUUUAUAAUAUUCGAAAUCAGGACAAAGUUGUGUAAUAAGGGUAUGUUUUGAUCCCUGUUGUGUUGGUGAAAAUUCCAUGCUGAUCAUGUCUUAGUGUGUACCUGUUUUCAAUGUCUAUGUAAUUUAGGGAAAUUGGAUAAGAAAUGUAGCUUUCUCGCCGCAAACAUAGAAUGCGACAUCUUUGGGGCAGUGAGGGUUCCAGCAGCUUUCCAUGAGAGAUGUGGUGAUUGUCUUCCUAGUCAGCAAGGAAGAAGAUGUAAAAAAUAUCUGUGGCAUGCAAAAUAUUAUAAAGAAGUGAGGAAAAUUUACGAUAUUGGUAAAUUCAUGAGAUAUUAUGGUCUGACGGUGUACAAUGUUGCCUUGUUUGAGUACUACGGAGAUGGUUUGUUUGAGGUUAAGCUUUUUAGGGACACUGAAUAACAGGAAUUAGAUCGUUCCUGGGAGAAGUUUUAUAACAAAUGGGAUGAUGACAGCAAAGUUGUCCUCAGGUUAGAAAGGACGUACUGGGAAGUCCAAGUCAGUUGGCAGAACAAUAGGUGUUCGUUUGGCAGAGGCUGGGCAGAUUUUGCAAAGGAAUCAGGGCUUGAAGCGGGAGAUAAUCUGCUACUUUUCAACACAACACAGACGAAGAAAAUAUCUUAAAUAUCUACAUCUUCAAAGCUGAGGCCUGGUCUGAUGCGUGUGUUCAGGGGACAUCCAAUGCUGAACAUUCGUUCUACAAAAUGGUGUAUCCACAUGCUGAAAAGGAAGGACACUUUGUGAGUUCAUCUGCAUAAUAAAGUGUGUAAUAUUUUCGCAAUUGUAAUAUACCCCAUUCUCCUUAAUUUUGAUCAAAUUCACAGGUUCUUCCAAGACUGUUUAGCAAGAAAUAUUGCAGUAGGUUGUGUAGAAUUAAGCAACUUGAUGUUGAUGAUAGAAGCUCGUACAUUUUUUAUAAUGUGCCAAAUGGUUAUAUCUACAACCUCGAGGAUAUGCUAAAGCAUUUCAAGGACAUCGAGAAGGAGGCGAUUGUUUUUUCCUUGAACAUCAGUAUUGUCAUGACUGCUAGAAUCUUUCAGAAAGAUGGCAUGGAGAUAGCCUACAAAAGAAGAAUCUGAAGCGCCAAGUACCUUGGAGAUGAACAUUGGUUCCUCAAGCCUGAUCUGAGAAGUGAUUAUGAUGAGGACAGCGAACACAGCUCGGAAUCCUCUGGCGGAAAUGCUGGUGUUGACGAUGAAAUGGCAGAGAAUGAUCUGCAGUUCACCAUCACAGUCUCUACUCUGCUCGUUGAUAAGAAAACACAUGGCGCGGUAAUUUAUUCCAGUUGCCAUCUAUCCUCCAAACCGUGAAUGGAACAAAGGCGAUGAACUUGAGCUCAGAUGAGAGAAGGGUUCUUGGAGAUUAGGCAUGGUGCUGCACGGCAAUCGUGCACGACUGUCUGCUGGCUGGAAUAAAUUUUUAAGGGAUAAUGAAUACAAAGUUGAUGAUGUUCUAAACUGGCAGCUGAUGGAAGAAAACGGGAUUGAUGUGUUUCUUGUGACCAAAGUAGCUCCACUCUAGGUUUAAGAAAACUUGCAGCAACAGUUUAAUUCCUAUCAGACUUGUAUUUUUGAUCAUGGUUUGAUCGUAUGCCUUUAACUUUGUUUGGUUGGAGAUCUGGAUAAUGUGCACUUUUGCACAUUUGAUAAACUUGACAAUGUUGGUUGCGAUACUAUAUUCUGGU
Daucus carota subsp. sativus is the source of this 2468-nucleotide long non-coding RNA. RefSeq lists it as uncharacterized. NCBI's taxonomy places the organism in Eukaryota, Viridiplantae, Streptophyta, Magnoliopsida, Apiales, Apiaceae. The record is from RefSeq and is a predicted model, not a curated record. The transcript has 5 exons.